AGUUUGAUCCUGGCUCAGAACGAACGCUGGCGGCAGGCUUAACACAUGCAAGUCGAACGCUCCGCAAGGAGAGUGGCAGACGGGUGAGUAACGCGUGGGAAUCUACCCAACCCUGCGGAAUAGCUCUGGGAAACUGGAAUUAAUACCGCAUACGACCUACGGGUGAAAGCGGAGGACCUUCGGGCUUCGCGCGGUUGAAUGAGCCGAUGUCGGAUUAGCUAGUUGGCGGGGUAAAGGCCCACCAAGGCGACGAUCCGUAGCUGGUCUGAGAGGAUGAUCAGCCACACUGGAACUGAGACACGGUCCAGACUCCUACGGGAGGCAGCAGUGGGGAAUAUUGGACAAUGGGCGCAAGCCUGAUCCAGCCAUGCCGCGUGGGUGAAGAAGGCCUUCGGGUUGUAAAGCCCUUUUGUUGGGAAAGAAAAGCAGUCGGUUAAUACCCGAUUGUUCUGACGGUACCCAAAGAAUAAGCACCGGCUAACUUCGUGCCAGCAGCCGCGGUAA
Molecule: ribosomal RNA, 504 nt
Filed under: uncultured bacterium
Lineage: Bacteria
Description: bacterial SSU rRNA
Rfam family: Bacterial small subunit ribosomal RNA
Source: RNAcentral